UUUUUUAACGUUAUGCCAAGGUGUACAGCCAUGUUCUGUACAACUUGGUUCACAAAGUGUGCACCAUUGUCACUGUAAAUGGUUUGGGGGAUGCCAUGAGUCGGUAUGAUGGCUUUGCAAAUGGCUUUUGCCACUGUUAAGGCAUCUGCACGUUUAGAUGGAACUAUUUCCACCCAUUUGGAAAAUGCAUCAAUCAUCACUAGGCAGUAUUUGUGAGGUCCACUUUAUGUGAGUUCAAUAAAAUCCAUAUGCACGAUUUGAAAUGGGUAAGACGGUUUUGGAAAUGAACCUCUCUUAGGUCUCAUAAGGUUUAUGGGACAUUUUGGGGAUAGCACAAUCGAGACUGAAGCUAUGACUCCCGUUUCAUCAUCUCUCACUACAACUGGAUUGGAGAUACUCUCCUUGUGUACCUGCCCAUCAGCAGAUUUUACCCAAAUAGUAUUUUGGGAGGCCUUUAGAUUUGGGACUUUAGUUUUUAUUACGGUUUUACAAGCUCCGGUAUCACACAAAAACUCUACUUCACUUCCUCCAAUGUUUAAGGUAACAUAUGGUUU
Syngnathus acus (greater pipefish) is the source of this 554-nucleotide long non-coding RNA. RefSeq lists it as uncharacterized. The record is from RefSeq and is a predicted model, not a curated record. NCBI's taxonomy places the organism in Eukaryota, Metazoa, Chordata, Actinopteri, Syngnathiformes, Syngnathidae. The transcript has 2 exons.